UUGAACGCGUGCUUUCAAUUUGGCAAGCAACUUAUCUCUCAAAGGUAAAUAUUUCUUGUUUUCGCUGUAAUUAAUGUAUUGAUCUCUCCAUGCACAAAAAUUUGGAAGCAUUUCACUUGUCACUAAUACAACUCCAGAUGCUUCUUCAAGAACUCCCAGCCAAAGAGCCGAAGCAUUUGCAGUAAUAUCAGCAAAUCCAAAUUUGUCACCCACAAAGAAUUUCUUGUCCUUGAGCUCAUUAUCAAGAACUUUCAACAUCUCAUAAACUUCCUCUUUAGCUUUCUCUUGUUCCUCUCCUUUAAGAAGGAAACUUCUCCCAACUGCUGGCCCCUGCAAAUUAAAACGCUCCAAAUUUAAGUUUCAAUAACAAUUUUACUCAAUUCCGCGGAUAGGAAUUAAUAUACUCCUAAUAUAACAACAAUCUUCAAUUCUAAGAAAGUUGGAAUCGGUUAUAUUCCUUCACUGAUUAUAUCAUCAACUCACACUCUCAAUCCAAUAUUAUAUAAAAAUUAUGCCAUAGUUUCUACUGACAACAUACACAUAUCUAACAUAAUAUGACUAGAAAAGAAAAAGAACCUAAAAGUAAACGCACUAAUAUGACGAAAAUAUAUUUCAAAUUAAUCGGUAUAUAGCGCCGAAAAAAAUAAACCUUUUCAGCAAAAAACUUAGCCCAGAAAUGAGCUAUAGCUCGGUCAUAAGGGUCUUUGGGCAAGAUUGGAGGGCCUUCGAACGUUUCAUCGAUGUAUUCAACAAUGACCAUAGACUCACAAAUGGGCUUUCCAUUGUGAAUUAGCACUGGAAUUUUCUUGUGAAUAGGGUUAGAUUCAAGAAGCAGAGGGCUCUUGUUCUGUAGAUCUUGAUCUAUAAACUCAUAUUCAACUCCCUUCAGCUUGAGAGCCCAUUCAACUCUGUUACUAUAAGGGCUAUACCAAAGACCAAGAAUUUCACUUCUGCCAUCACACAAUUUUGGUUCUCUGUUAUUUGUUUUACUAUGAUAAGGAAUUUUUAGGCUGUUGUUUUGAUCUUUUGAACUUUAUCCUCAUUUUUAUAGAUGGAAAAAUAAAGAACUGGCUUUUCGAACAAGCAUAUGCUGCUUUUCUUCUUUGACAAGUCAGUGUUUCCAAUUUGGCACUUCCAUACUGACUGAAGACAUUUAUUAAGUGUUAAAACUUAAGUAGAAGGUUCUAUCCAACUAAUAAAGAUUUACCCAACUCAAACAGUAGAUUCAUGAACUGAGUUAUCAUAGGCUCCUUCCUUUGAGGUGCGUUCAAGUUCUAAGGUGCAGAAAAGUACAGGGAUAGGCGCUUCGCCUCACUUAGGUUGUACUUUUAAGGCCCUGUAAGUCUUGACUGUUUAUUUGGACUAUUUACGACCCUGAUGAAUAAAUUAAGGUAUUAUCAAGCGUUACACAAUGAAGGUCCUGUGCCUAAAAAUGAUAGGAACGUUUGGAAGGGGUAGAAGUGGGUUUGAGCAAGUUAUGAUUAAUUGAAACAUUUCUUUCGUAAAAAUAUAUAGCAGCCAGUGUUCGGCAUUGAAGCGCUUCAGUAACAAUUGUUGAUGGCACAAAAUAGUCUUGAGCCAUCGCAGUUGUACAAAAUCUGGUGCUGCAGCCCUCACCCCUAUAGCUAGUGUUUUAUCACGGGAAAGCGGGGCAUUAGGGUUAUAUUUUCACUACCUAAAAAUGUUAGUGUUAUAUAUUGACAUGCCAUUCGCAAGUUUGAGAGAUGAGAUCAACCCAAAUCCUUGGUGAUCCAAAAGUAAGAUUUUUAUUGAGUAAUUAAUACCUUCCUUAUACAAGAUUUAACAAUAAACUUGUGAAUCUCUCCAACUUUUUAUGGAUUGAAUAUGACCUCUUGCAAACAACAAAUCAUCAUCAGUAACCAAAAGAUGUUUCACUCAUUAUGAUAUUUGGAAUGAAAUGUAAACCUCUUUUCGUCAAUACUUCUCAGAUGCUACUGCAAUGGUGGAACCACACAACUCUUAAUGUGGUUGCCUCAUUCAUGGCUAAAAUAGUCCUUGCACUAAUCACUUGGUGCUUUAAUUUGGAGAUCCAGGUGUGCAUCUCGGUAUGGGAAUGAAGCCCCUUCAAUAAAAAGAUCAGAGUUGUUCAUUCGACCAUCUCUAGCUGACAUUGUGGGGCAGAAUUUUGGUAGUUUGAAACUGGAUAAUGAGUGGGAGAGACUGCUGUAGAGAAUAGCAGAAGAACGGUGUAGUUGGAGAGAUCUUCUAUUAGCCCAAAAUUAUUUAACUAAUAUCGGAAGAUUCAACUAAGAAGGGGAAGCUAGAAAGGUUAAAAAGAUAUUGAAAGGGAGAACUUGGAUUUGAUUUUUCGGUUGGUUAUAAAUGCUACAAAUCUAGAGUGUUCUAUGUUUUUCCACAAAGAUCCCUCAAAUAUUUAGCAGCCUAUCUAGAUCUUUCCUAAAACAAAUAUCAAAUAACUAUAUUAUCCUUUUCUAGAUUAUUCAACCUAGAAUUAAUUAGAAUAUCUAGAUAUUUCUUCAAUAUGAUUAUUCUAGAAAUUACACUAGAUAUUCUAGAAACCUUACUAGAAAACUAUGAAUCCAAAAAAUCUACCUUAAUAUUUUCACAACCGCAUAGUCUAAUUGAACAUCUACUUACAUAUAAAUUCAUCAAAGUAGUAAAAAAGGACUAAACCUCCUCCAUUGUUUUGCAAGGUAGCUGUCAAGAAGUAAACUGUGGAGCAGGGGAAGUAUACAGCAAGGGCAAAUUCAUUAUGUCCUAUUUUGUAUAUCUAGAUCAAGGUAUGAGCAAUUGGGCUGAGACUCGGACGAUGUUGAUUGUAAUCAAACAGUGAAGCACAAGGCCUCUACAAAAUAAUAAUUGAAGUUGACCCAAAGUUGCUCGCCUCCGACAUUGGAGGGGAUAUGACCACACCAUGGAGGAUGCUAUAACAAAUAGAGGAGACAAUUUGACAACAUAGGGCUAACUAUAAAUAACAGAUUAUCUUUACAAGCUGUGAAGGUUUGGCAAGAAAGGUUAGAGGUCUUCUUCAACUGAACAGAUGGGAGCUUUCUUCCUUUAGGAUCAGACAACUCAAGUCGGCUUAAAUUCAGUUUGAACCUUCGUGAGGAUCAGAUCUAAAGUUUCUCAUUUUUCUUUUCCUUUUGCAAAUACUUUAUAAUACAUGAAUAUCAGGAGUGGUUUGCUUCUCUCUCAAAAU
Molecule: long non-coding RNA, 3181 nt
Filed under: Capsicum annuum
Lineage: Eukaryota; Viridiplantae; Streptophyta; Magnoliopsida; Solanales; Solanaceae
Description: long non-coding RNA (CANN_LNC003086)
Source: RNAcentral